Molecule: long non-coding RNA, 3183 nt
Organism: Daphnia magna
Lineage: Eukaryota; Metazoa; Arthropoda; Branchiopoda; Diplostraca; Daphniidae
Exons: 2
Source: RefSeq, a predicted model, not a curated record
CCGUCGCCCGACACAGAGUGCAUUCACAUAGGGGCAUAUUGCUCCUGGAAUUUAUCUCCUUGAAACAACCGGAACCGUGUGGGCCGUGUACUGGGUGUAGACGUGUAUUAUAGUAUAAACAAGUACCAAUGAAAUGUGAAAAACGGAGGAGUUUUUUUUCAAGUAUUAGUUUUUUUUUACUUACAACGUAGAAUAGUUUGAAUUGGCGUUGAUUCGGGAGUGUAAAACUUUUUGGCAAGUUGUACGAAAUUCUAGAAUUAUGACUGAUUCUCGAAUCAAAAAUUGAUUCUUUUGUGAUUUUUGGACUAAAUAAUCAUGAUUUUCUUUUGCCAAAACCACGUAAUUCUUACUGAAAACUGUGAUUUUCUGAUUCUUUCUGAAAAUAAAAAAAUCUUUGACAAGUGUACGAGCUUCUUGCGAGUUUUACACCCCCUUCGUUGAUUUCUUAUGUCACUACUCGAAACUGGACGCCUCUCCCGAAAAUGUUCAAAAAAUGACAAAGCAUUUAAGUAGAUUUUUUUUCCAGUGAUGUGUUGAAUUAAUACCUAAUUCAAAUCGGUUGGUUUGAGAAUUGCGUAUUUUUCUGUAUAAAGAAAUUUGGUUAGUUAGGUACGGUACUUACGGACUUACGAUUAUUUUAACUAACAACAUUCACUGGAUGAUUCGAAGGUACAGUAUAUUACUUACCUAUCAGCAGCUGCACUCACAAAGUCGAUCGAAACUAUCAGCGGAAAUCGUAAGAAUCUAUAUAUUCACAACCAACCAUGAAACAUUUUUUGCGCUUUUUUGCUUUUUCAUUUCAAGGAGAAAUAGCUCUAGAAGAUUCCGAACUAUUUACAGUAACAAGUAAGGUGAAUAUCCAUUCCUUUUGUCACUUGAAAAAUGUGCCCGCCAUUUAAAAAACUCAAAAGAUGAGGAGAUGGGGAGAAUCCUUCCCAUCCUUCCAUACCAAGUAUCCAUCCGAUUUGGGUUCAGUCAUCUAAUAUCCGCAAGUGCGGUACUCCAUUUCACCAUGUUAUUCUGCAUUCGAUGAUCGUUCGCCGUUAUUAGAACAAAAACAGUACGCAUCAUAAUUGACGUAUGCACACUUGACAGCCAGUAGGAAAAUUCCUGAAUGACUUAGAAUGCCAGCAGAGAAACACCUGCUUUUGAUUUCUCUGUGGCUUGCCACCAUGUACCAUUCGUUUAGUGGCUUUCGUGUUGGAUGGCGAAUUUAGUGGCGAAAAAGUACUUUGUUACCGUUCUACAAAUCCCUGUGUAGUGAAGACAAGAUGUCGAAGACUAAAGCUUUCUGUUCGUUCAAGCUUUCCAGAAUGUCAAAAUAUUUAUUAAGACGCCACUCCUGGCAUACAGCAUGACGUAUACCUGACAGGGAAAUACGUUAUUUUAUUUUAAAUAUUACAUCAGGUUGCCGACGUCAUCCUUACAGCAGAUAUUUUAAAAAAUUUACUUUCGUUGCCAAUGCUCUUAGAAAUGUGCGAUGACGAAGAUUCUAAAUUUUUGCACAAAGGUAAGUUAACGACCCAAUUUAAUAAAUCCCCCAGCGACUUUGAUGAGGACGUGGCAUAUGCUGAUCUUAUUAUCUGUCCAGCGUUGGUGUCCAUAGUUUCGGAGAACACUAGAGUGCACUAUAAACCUAAAUGUUGAUACCUUUUCAACAGUCUAAACGAUAAAGAUGUAACGGUGAAGUAAACGGCACAAAACAUUUAUUUACGAAAUUUUGAAACAAAUUUUAGCUAGACUUCUCCAAGAUAUCUCUAGAAGUAUGUCGUGUUCGAGCUUUGACCACCUCCUGUAAAUGUUUUGGUAACAGGGAGAUAAAUGGGUCGCCAUGACCGACGUAUUUAGCAAUAGAUUCCACGCAGCACCUUUACAAAGUUUUCCAUUAUGCUAUUUCUACCCAUUUUCCAUAUAUUUACUAACCUGAGAAGAGUUUUAGGAGUGACAGACAUCGACAACAUGUUUUCAGCAUAAACCUGUAAACAAGGGCCGUGAUUAGGUAAUAAGUGAAAGGAGAAAAUAGUUUUAUCCUAUAAUACCGUGCCAUCUGGCUGGUAGCUGUGAAUAUUACUUCGAACUCCACCUAUCACGAUCCAAUCGCUGUCGACCUUAACACUUUGAUGCCAUAAUCGUUUAUCGGACACCUUUAAUGGUAUUUCGGUCCAGUUAUUUCGGUCUAUAUCGUACAUCCAACAAUCUCCUAAGAGAAUACACUCAAUUACAUAGGUUAUUGUAAAGCAUAGUGGCUAUAAUUAAACCUAUUUUUAAAAUACAGUUUCAGCUGAAAAUUCGCAAUGCUUGUGGUCCUUAUCUGAACAGUUUUCUACGAUUUUGGCCAAACAAUGUUUCGCUCCGGCAAAUCGUCGUACUGCCGGGUUGCCAGCUAAACGAUUUCUAUUCUUCUGAUGGAAGAAACGGGGUUACAUUGUUUUGUUUUAAGUAUUCCUAUCCCUAACUUUCUUUUACGUAAUUUCUAAGAAGAUAAGAUUAGUUGACAGCCCCUGGUAAAAAAAUGAACGCCACAGGACCACAUACAGCGCAACAUUUUUGGACAGAUUAAGAACGAGGACGAAAAAACAAAAAAACAAAAAAAGAGUUAUAUGUAUAAGACAAUCUAGUAAUAGAAAGAUAUGAAGUAUAACUAUACCCAAUACUUCUCCUUCUGCUGAAAGACCACCGUAUAAAAUAGCUUUAGAUGACCCUACAUAAGUGAAAGAAUGCCACGAUCGACCACAAGGGAAGAGCUUGCCUGGAUUUAAACUAAAAGGCAGCUAUUAGGCAGAUUCGAUCACCAAGAAGCAAAAUAGUACUAUUUACUUUUCGCUCCACGACAUGGACUUCAAGUCAAGAACGUAAAGAUCAUUCAAUCGUGUUCCCUGAAGUCUACCACCGAAGAUAUACACACGGGAUUGGCAUCGAAAUCCAGCAAGAGCUGCACGUGGACUUGGAGGUAGCCCACUAGUUUCUGGCCAUUCCCAUCUGUUGCUAUUAAUGUUGUAUGCAACCAACUGAUUAUUCCAUCCUCUUCCCAUAUACCAUUGAUGACUUCUAUCAGGAAUAUAAUCAUACUGAUCAGCAUUGCGAUCGUCGUCAGCAGGUGUACCAAAGCCACCAAAAAAGAAAACUCUAAAACACAAGUUUGGUAUCAGUAGCAAAAUAUAGUCAAUACAAAAUUUCAAUUUA